RNAcentral lists this transfer RNA (77 nucleotides) under Acidobacteria bacterium RIFCSPLOWO2_02_FULL_68_18. Its description in RNAcentral is "tRNA-Met". It matches the Rfam family "tRNA". Rfam says of the family: Transfer RNA (tRNA) molecules are approximately 80 nucleotides in length. Lineage: Bacteria; Pseudomonadati; Acidobacteriota. RNAcentral also lists the same sequence under 5 other names. The record is from RNAcentral.
GCCGGAGUAGCUCAGCCGGUUAGAGCACGCGUCUCAUAAGCGCGGGGUCGGCGGUUCGAGUCCGCCCUCCGGCACCA